RNAcentral lists this long non-coding RNA (1053 nucleotides) under Neodiprion pinetum (white pine sawfly). RNAcentral's name for it is "uncharacterized LOC124221901". The record is from RNAcentral. Lineage: Eukaryota; Metazoa; Arthropoda; Insecta; Hymenoptera; Diprionidae.
GGGGCGAGUCGUCCACAGGUCACCAGAAAAUAAUUAUAUCACCGUCGUCGCAGAAGGCGACGAGAAUGUGGAAAUAAAAAUAAGAAAAAGGGGAAACAACAAGAAAAGUGCGAGAGAUAAUCAGAAGACGGGAGAAUUCUGUGGAUCACCAUUCGGAUGCGCUGAUCCAUAAAAGUGUCGCCGUGAUCCAGACGAUUUCGGAAACCCUCCGCGACCGGGAGGUGGCGGUCGCGAAUCAGGAGAGAGAGGUAACAAAGCGAGAGACCCUUCUUCUACGGGCCGUCAUUGGUGAAGACCUCCAGGAGGAGUCGGCGGCAGAGGAGGCGGAGGAGGAGGUGGGCGCGAGAGUGGACCAGGGGAGGGAAGUCGCCGCGGAGGGGCGAGUCGUCCACAGGUCACCAGAAAAUAAUUAUAUCACCGUCGUCGCAGAAGGCGACGAGAAUGUGGAAAUAAAAAUAAGAAAAAGGGGAAACAACAAGAAAAGUGCGAGAGAUAAUCAGAAGACGGGAGAAUUCUGUGGAUCACCAUUCGGAUGCGCUGAUCCAUAAAAGUGUCGCCGUGAUCCAGACAAUUUCGGAAACCCUCCGCGACCGGGAGGUGGCGGUCGCGAAUCAGGAGAGAGAGGUAACAAAGCGAGAGACCCUUCUUCUACGGGCCGUCAUUGGUGAAGACCUCCAGGAGGAGUCGGCGGCAGAGGAGGCGGAGGAGGAGGUGGGCGCGAGAGUGGACCAGGGGAGGGAAGUCGCCGCGGAGGGGCGAGUCGUCCACAGGUCACCAGAAAAUAAUUAUAUCACCGUCGUCGCAGAAGGCGACGAGAAUGUGGAAAUAAAAAUAAGAAAAAGGGGAAACAACAAGAAAAGUGCGAGAGAUAAUCAGAAGACGGGAGAAUUCUGUGGAUCACCAUUCGGAUGCGCUGAUCCAUAAAAGUGUCGCCGUGAUCCAGACGAUUUCGGAAACCCUCCGCGACCGGGAGGUGGCGGUCGCGAAUCAGGAGAGAGAGGUAACAAAGCGAGAGACCCUUCUUCUACGGGCCGUCAUUGGUGAAGACCUCCA